GGGGAAUGUUGCAACAUCAGAGUGACGUCUCCAUCACUGAAUUUACACAUUCACUGCAGCGAAAGCUGACGAAUCAUCGCUCUCAUCCUGCGUCGCCCUUCAUCACGCCGGAAUCGAUGGCGGAAACUUACCCAGGGACGUCAGCGAACAGCAAGGUCAAUAACAACAAUUAAGGCCCCCCAUGUAGACGAGUACAGAGGUGGAGGGUAACUAUUUCUGUUGUUUAACAUCUGUAUAGACUGAAACGAAGCACUUUGUGGAUGAGUUCAACACGAUGUGCUCCGUAGAGUCACUGCACCAGCCUGAAGAAUGAUUCAAAGCUCCACUCUGAUGUAAAACCUUUAAUGUAAAGACAACGUUCUCACCACCAUCUUGCUUCUUUACAUUCCCCCAGACAGAGCGUUCAUCAUUCAUCAUCCCGGGGCUUUAUUUAACUUGUUGAAAACCAUUUUAUUUGUGUUUUUGCAAUGGUUUUCACGUUCUGACGCGAUAUUCUUAUCUACUUCAGUUGUUAAGUAGAAUACUGGAAUGCUCUUUUGCUGUGAAGUGUUUUUUGGAUCCACAAACUUCCCCUAGUUUUCCAUCUACAUGUAGGUGAGUAGAUAAUGACUGAAUGUGAACUGUUCCUUUAAAAGCUAAAGGAUGACAGAAAUAUUAACUCCCAUGUUGUGACGUUCAGCUGUUGAUCAGAUUAACACACAGGACGUUAAAUUAAAUCAAACUCAGAGGCUGUAAGGAGAGACGCGAGAUCACGUUUGACAUUUUGGUCCCUUUAUUUCAUGUUAACCACAUUUCAAACAACUAAACAACCAAUGGUAAUGGCAUCACCAGAUCUAAACAACACUUUGCUAGACAAAUAAUCAUCAGAAUAAUAAUUAUACAAAAGAAAUGUACAAAUUCAAGACAAAAAAAGAAAACAAAACAAAUUAAAAAAAAAUUGAAAACAAAUAAAAUAUAUAAUACAGAUGAGCGGCCAUGAACCAAGCCAAUAAAAUAAAGCCUUAGUGGAAAAAAAACCCCAAAACAAAACAAAGAAAAAACAUUUCUGGCAUUCACAUCGUCUUCAAUACAACACUCUGACUGUCUUUGUCUUUAUAGGUCCAUUAACGAGCCUGACUGGACUCCAGCAAACAAAUAAAACGUAAGCGCAGACUGAACAGUUUGCCACAACAUUUUGCCACAAAGUAUGUCGGUUCUGGCCAAGAAGAGCAUCGACACUUUACAAACCAAACAAAUGUAACCAGAGAUGAGCUUCACCUGAGUGAAGUGUCAUUCCAAACUGAGCCAUCAGCUGUCUCCUAACGCUGACAUCUAUCGGUAUGAGCUGCUGACGUAAAAUAAAUGAAAUGAUGGGUUAGAAUCAGUUUUGAUUUGAUUAGAAAAGUGCUUCCGUCUUUAGUUUGAGUGACUCGUCCGCCAUGUUUGAAAAUGAAGCCCUUAAUUUGGUGUCUUCUUUACCUCAGACGACGCUGCGACUGUUCUUUAGUCCCCAGUAAAGACCAACGAAUCCCUAAAAAUCCUCACAGUCCUUUUGACUUGACACAGUUCAGAGGAUGCCGAAAUAAGAGCCUUUAAUAUCAGCUUGUUGUUUCGUCUUCCUCGCGUCUUUUAAGGGCAAUAUGAAAGUUUAAAGUCCGAUCAAAUGAGGAGACAAAGGGGAGCUGAAGUCAGCGGUUUAAUUCUCAUUAAGUCCUUCUCUUUGAGCUGCAGUGGCAUCUGAACUGUCAGCCAUGUUGACCUUCAUUCACCCCGGGGUCGAUCAUUAACUCACAUCAUUUCCUAUCACACCGGGCUGGAGAUUAAUUUCUAAACCUCGGUAGGUAUAGUGAAAAGCAAAUUUGAGGCUUUGUUUGCAGAGGGAGAGUAAAUGUGACCCGUCGCUUUGUCUUUGUGUUGUCAUCUUGAUGACAGCCAGCCGGCCCGGGGAGCACUCCUUCACUGAAAUGUACCCAGAAUAUAAAACAUCGUGUGGCUUAUAGUUCUGAUCCAAACCUUAUUAAUUAACAUGUUUUGAUCACCAUGGGUAGAGUUACUCUCAGUCAUCCGAAACUUGUGAAAUAUUAUUUCAGAGAUAACUCUUAACGGAAAAAAAUGUGUGAUCGUCUCCUGCGUGUUGCUUCGUGUGUUUGAAUGUUUGCUCUUCGUCCUUUCAACUAUUUCAAGUCAAACCAAGUAUUCAGAACCACGUAAACAAAUGGAUGAAAAAGUUGAAUAAAUGACUCGCUGUUGAGUUUUUCUAGAGCCCGACUGAUACUGGAGUUCUGAAGCUGGCGCUGGUACCAAUUUAAGAGAGCAAAUAUAUUCUGAUAUUGAUAUAACGCUUGUGACUCGGGCUGCAGCUAAAGAUUAUUUUCACUAUCGAUCAAUCUGCUGAAUGUUUUUUCUGCACUCAAGACAUCACAUAUGCCGAUACUGAUUUAUCUUGGAUAGGUGCUGAUACGAUCAGUCGGGCUCUAGUUCUUUCAUCUGGACCGCAGGGCGACCUGGUCGUUGGUGAUGUACUCAGAAUCAAGAGUUAAAUCCGAACAUCUCUCUAAAAGUCUCCUUCAAGAAAAACAAAUGUAAUUUCAAUCUUCUUCCUCACCGUAAGUCACUCUGAAUGUGGGCGUCAGCUUAACGUGCAAUAUGCAAAAAUAUAUUUCUUAAUUCUUUUGACGGCGUGUCUGAAUGGAGCGUUUGUAGGAAGGUAACAUAAGACUUUGUUUCAAACUAAAACUCACGGCUGAGAAUGACAGCGGCUGCUGUGUGGAGCGAUAGUGUGUUCUGAAAUGAG
This 2773-nucleotide long non-coding RNA is filed under the name Sparus aurata (gilthead seabream). Its description in RNAcentral is "lncRNA (ENSSAUG00010014676.1)". Lineage: Eukaryota; Metazoa; Chordata; Actinopteri; Spariformes; Sparidae. The record is from RNAcentral.